UUGGAGGGCAAGUCUGGUGCCAGCAGCCGCGGUAAUUCCAGCUCCAAUAGCGUAUAUUAAAGUUGCUGCAGUUAAAAAGCUCGUAGUUGAAUUUCGGGAUCAAGUCGUCGGUCGUGCUUAGGUACGUACUGGCGUCAUUGAUUUCUCCCUUCUGACGAACCAUGAUGUCAUUAAUUUGGUGUUAUGGGAAAUCAGGACUGUUACUUUGAAAAAUUAGAGUGUUUAAAGCAGGCUCACGCUUGAAUACAUUAGCAUGGAAUAAUGAAAUAGGACGUUUGAUCCUAUUUUGUUGGUUUCUAGGAUUGACGUAAUGAUUAAUAGGGAUAGUUGGGGGCAUUAGUAUUCAAUUGUCAGAGGUGAAAUUCUUGGAUUUAUUGAAGACUAACUACUGCGAAAGCAUUUGCCAAGGAUGUUUUCAUUAAUCAAGAACGAAAGUUAGGGGAUCGAAGACGAUCAGAUACCGUCGUAGUCUUAACCAUAAACUAUGCCGACUAGGGGAUCGGACGAUGUUAAUUUUUAAUGACUCGUUCGGC
RNAcentral lists this ribosomal RNA (533 nucleotides) under uncultured Glomeromycotina. Its description in RNAcentral is "SSU rRNA". It matches the Rfam family "Eukaryotic small subunit ribosomal RNA", at positions 548 to 1084 of the family's 1831-position model. The record is from RNAcentral. Lineage: Eukaryota; Fungi; Glomeromycota.